UCAGAGUCAUCAGCUGGGAAAUUAGUAUUUAAUGUAGUGUAGUACAUGCUUGCUUGCUUGCUCACCCUCUCCUCCCUCUCCUCCCUCUGCUCAUUAUAAUGCCUUUAGCCAGAAGGUUCAGGGCAUAGGUGGAAGAUCAGCUCCUCUGGUAUAAUAAGACACAGAAAAUAAUUCACUGAUCCAUUAAUUUAUUCAGAAAUCCAACACUCUCAAUCUUUCUUCUUCUUCCUCCCAUAUCCAUUUCCCUCCCAUAGGUGAUACAGGCACUCCAGGCAAGAUUGUUACUUCAGAGGGAACAUCAACAAUCACUGUUCCAGGGCCUCCAGGACCACCAGGAUCCAUGGGACCCCCAGGUCCACCUGGCCUUCCAGGACCUAUUGGCCCAGCUGGUCUCCCAGGACAGCAAGGUAUGCCGCGCCUGGGAAUACUAAGGAUUGAUUAUGGGCUCCCAGAAAGUUCCCCAAAGCUC
RNAcentral lists this long non-coding RNA (469 nucleotides) under Sarcophilus harrisii (Tasmanian devil). RNAcentral's name for it is "lncRNA (ENSSHAG00000032034.1)". The record is from RNAcentral. Lineage: Eukaryota; Metazoa; Chordata; Mammalia; Dasyuromorphia; Dasyuridae.